Molecule: non-coding RNA, 657 nt
Organism: Maylandia zebra (zebra mbuna)
Lineage: Eukaryota; Metazoa; Chordata; Actinopteri; Cichliformes; Cichlidae
Source: RefSeq, a predicted model, not a curated record
AGGGUUUUCCAAGCCAAGACUAUGGAGUUGACUGUGGGAUCUUCAUGCUGAUGUCUGCUCUGUACGUGGCACUGGAUGCUUGAUUUGACUAUACUGUAGUAAGUAUUCUAUUUACUUUCACAGCAAUGGAAUCUUGAAUCUUUUGAAAGUUGUUAAAUAUGUUUCAUAUUAAUAUUUUACAGUCAGACAUGCCCUACUUGUGUAAAUGGUGGUGCUUGCUGUUGAUGGAGAACUUUGAUCUCAGGGGGUAUUUAUAUUUUGACUUCUGUUUUUUAUGUUGUGUCAAAGUUUACACACCUUAACAAUAUCAACAUUUUCUGUUAAGCUCUGGCAAGCUAUUUGCACACUGGAGAGAGGAAGCCAAAGCUGUGCUUGAAGGACAACACGUGCCCAUUUUCAGACUGAAAAAGCGCAAGUUCCAGGAAGUCAGUCAGGAGCCAGCAGUUUUUGAAGAUCUGCAUCCUGCUGUGCAGUGGGUUGUCCAAAAUAAGGCACUUUUCCGUGGACACGUAACAAUGCCCAAAUAUCUGUCCUUAAAUCAAGGGGACCAGCAGAGGGUCUUAAGAGACAUGUCAGAGGAAGAAGACACUGGAGCAAGGGACUUGUUCCUCUUUGUUUCAGUUUGCAGAGGACAUGGAGUUCUUUUUGAAAGCAUGU